Mycena rebaudengoi is the source of this 101-nucleotide non-coding RNA. The record is from the annotation of a GenBank genome assembly. Lineage: Eukaryota; Fungi; Basidiomycota; Agaricomycetes; Agaricales; Mycenaceae.
GGUCCAGUGGUGCACUGGUGCACGCUUGUUAAUUUUGGGCGGUUCAUUCGGACCGUCAUCUGCAUCAGCAAGAGGCGCCCGUUCGACUCGGGCUGGGACCA